ACAGUUAAGCUAUAGUUUGGUUCACUGUUUUCUUCAUGUCUGAUUUAUCAAAUCAUCAUUCGACGAAAGGGGCUAAGAAUAACCCAUUCAACGACAGAUGUAAUAGCAAAAUUUUUCCCCAGACAAUUUUACCCUGUAUUUCUUCACCCAUUUACCGUCAAUUCUGUCGUUGUUGUAAAAGUGGUGCCUCCUUCGAUUCUGUCAUUGAGAAUCGUAGAUUCAUCUCCGACUCGUUCUCCGCCUCCGCAAAGCUGCCUCCUUUCCUUUGAAAUAUCAGUGAAAGGGCUUGAACUACUAAACAAAUACAUUGGUGCUUCUGAGCAAACUGUUCAAGAGAUUUUCUAACUUUUUUGAUUAAUUUGAUUCCAUUACCCCUAAAAGAUGACAUGACUACACUAGAGUAACUGAUCGAGUUGUCAACCAAGUUAGUAUCUUUUUGCUUGCUACAUUUUAUUAUUUUGCCUUAACUUUUUAUGUCUUUCUCAUUGUUAUUUUGCUUUCAAACAAUUCCUAACUUAAUUAGAUGGUUUUGAAGUUUUGACUGGUGUAUUUGUGUUUGUUGCAACAAGGUUAGUUCUCAUGGAAUCCUAUUGUAUUAUUUUGAUAGUAUCUAUCCUUAAUCUUCGGUUAAUCCCCACAAUGUUGAGUUUGGUUCGUUAUUAUCUUCACGUGAUCAAUUUUGAAAUGAGAUGCAUACCCAAAUAAGAUAGCUUUUCAAGUAGCACAAAAUUUUUAAAAGAUAAUACGCUUCUUGAUUUCAAGGUUUUCCAUAAAUAUAUGAAUUUAUUAUUUCAUGGUUUUCCUUAUGAGUUGCAUGGCUUUAAUAAAAAUUGACUUAAAUUCUUCUCAUAAGCAGUAGACUAGAUCUGCUUGAUGCUGCAUUGCUGAGACCAGGUAGGCUUGAUCGCCUCCUUUUCUGUGAUUUUCCAUCUCCGCGUGAAAGGUUGGAUAUUCUGACCUUUCUUUCAAGAAAGGUUAGUGAUAUUGUUUUUAUGCAUCAAUUUUCUACGCUCUCUUUUUUUUUUUUUGUUUCAUCAUAGAAACCGAAGGUAUAAAACUCUUCUUCAAGUCUUGCUUCCUAGAAUUACAUGAUUUUAACCACAUGUAUCAGCUUUGUUACCAGGAUUAAGUGGUCAGUGUUGGAUUUUGAUGUACA
Long non-coding RNA from Gossypium raimondii (Peruvian cotton), 1156 nucleotides. RefSeq lists it as uncharacterized. The transcript is spliced from 3 exons. NCBI's taxonomy places the organism in Eukaryota, Viridiplantae, Streptophyta, Magnoliopsida, Malvales, Malvaceae. The record is from RefSeq and is a predicted model, not a curated record.